AAUCUAUUCAGAUUACUGGCAAUUUAACAUGGGCCCACCAUAUUACUGCAUUUGGUAUAUCUUUUAAGUAGUAAUUUGGAUUGCAUUGACAAUCCAGAUUGCCUCCCAAAAUCUGAAUUACCUUCAAGAGGGGUGGCUAUCCUCAAAAAAUUUGGACGAUCUUCUUUCUCAUGAUUGACAACAAAAAGAGGGAGGCCAAAAUUAGUGCCCUCAUCUACAA
Molecule: long non-coding RNA, 220 nt
Filed under: Elaeis guineensis (African oil palm)
Lineage: Eukaryota; Viridiplantae; Streptophyta; Magnoliopsida; Arecales; Arecaceae
Description: long non-coding RNA (EGUI_LNC016062)
Source: RNAcentral